Bombyx mori (domestic silkworm) is the source of this 841-nucleotide long non-coding RNA. RefSeq lists it as uncharacterized. NCBI's taxonomy places the organism in Eukaryota, Metazoa, Arthropoda, Insecta, Lepidoptera, Bombycidae. The record is from RefSeq and is a predicted model, not a curated record. The transcript has 2 exons.
AUGACUUUAUUACAAUUUAACAAUAACAAUAAUUUAAACAAAAACUGGUAAAGAAGAAGAAAAAAAAAAACUCAUGGUACAUUCAUUACAUUUUAUACUAAUUCUACAACCAGCAUUAAAAUUUUCAUUGUAUUUGAAUGAAUAAGAAAGACACGUAUACUUUAGUGCUAAGCUUUUGUCAUUAUUGCAAGUCAGUACUAUAAUAAGUAUAUAGUAUAUAUAUUAGUAGUAUAUAGUAGGUAACAGUAUGAAAUUGCACAAAAACCCCGACAAGCACAAAAAGAAAGUUUCCCUUAGAAAGUAAACCUUCUUUGUUUAUCUCCAUAUCUUAUACCUUUAAACGAGCAAUUCUUGUAUAUUAAAAUAUAUAUGUAUAUAAUCUGAAUCUCGGAAACUGCUUCAACGAUUUUCAUAACAUUUAGUAUACAGGGGAUUUCGGGGGCGAUAAAUCGAUCUAGCUACGAUUUAUUUUCAGAAAAUGUUGUUUUAUUCGUGUUUUCAAUAAUAAACUCUUCCCGAUAUCUAUUGGCGAAUAAUAAUACUAUUUUUCUUAAUUGAGGGCAAGUAACCGCUUUAAAGACACAACAAGAUGGCGUUAUAAAAAAAAAUCGAUCAAAGCUAGGUCAUCAUCUAGUCUGCCAUUAAGCGUCGCCUUCAAUCUUCGUGCAUACCAUCAGGAAUCAGUAUUCUAGUCAUGAUUUAAACACGCUAUGACUAUUCUAUCAUUUAACAUUAAUUAGAAUUUUCGAUUUAAAUUACUGGUGAUAGGACCUCUUGUGAGUCCGCACGGGUAGGUACCACCACCCUGCCUAUUUCUGCCGUGAAGUAGUAAUGCGUUUCG